Callithrix jacchus (white-tufted-ear marmoset) is the source of this 885-nucleotide long non-coding RNA. RefSeq lists it as uncharacterized. Lineage: Eukaryota; Metazoa; Chordata; Mammalia; Primates; Cebidae. The record is from RefSeq and is a predicted model, not a curated record.
ACCAACCUUCCCGCAUCCCUUCCAGCCUCAGGGCUGCCCCGGCAGAACGGUGAGCAAGACCUGGGGAACCUGGAGAGAUUAGAGCGGCGAGUCCGCUGGUCCCUUAGGACACCGGCGCAUUGGGAGAUUCUGGAGUCAGAGGACAGCGGAAUGGCCUUUGCCCGCCCUGCCCCACCGCUGCUUCAGAAGCCCCCGGAAACACCCCGGGUCCGCGACCCGGGUGGAGUCACCUGGGGGUCGAAGGGAAGCUCAACGCCCGGCGGGCUCCUGGGAUGGCUCUUCCCCUUCUUUGAGCCGCCUUCACCCAGAGGGGAAGCCUGUGCCCACCCUGCUCCGUCGCUUUCGAGGCCGCUGCGGAGUUUCCGCUGCUGUCUUCUGAUCCUGUGUGCCGCACGGGGGCUCCACCAGGGCAGGGAUGUGGUGAGGGUCCUUCGUGGGUCCCCUCGCGGGGAGCAGGGUCCGGCACUCAGCAGGGCGCACAACUUGGACUAGUCGACUGAACGCAUCGUCACCUUUGGCUUUUAGUCCUUUGAAGAGCCUUGAGAAUGGAAGUCAUGAGAUUUUUCCAUGGAAAUUCCGUUUACGUGCGUCACAUAGCGUUUAUUCGGGUUGAUUUCUCUGCACUCUGCGGGCAGAAUGGAGAGGAAUUGAGGGGAAAACGGAGACAGAACCUGAAAGAGCCCAAAUGAGAGAACAUGUAGCUCCCAAGAAUAAGAUCUUUCAGAAGAACUAGCGUGAAAACCAAGCAUCUGGGAACCCUGAAAUCCAUGCAGGAGUACAUCUCGUGACCCUCUGCGUUCCUUUAGGCAAAAGGACUUCCUUCCACUGUUUGUUCAAUUGCUUGUGUUUGUUUAAUAAAUAAAGCGCUUUCCAUUAUCUUCGAAA